GGUAAGUUCCGACCCGCAUGAAAGGCGUAAUGAUUUGGGCGCUGUCUCAACAAUAGACUCGGUGAAAUUUAAAUUCCAGUGAAGAUGCUGGGUACCCGCGACAGGACGGAAAGACCCCGUGGAGCUUUACUGUAGCUUGAUAUUGAAUGUUUGUGCUGCAUGUGCAGGAUAGGUAGGAGACUUUGAAGUCGGAACGCUAGUUUCGAUUGAGUCACCCUUGAGAUACUACCUCUGUUGUAUGAACGUUCUAACUCUGAUCAGUUAUCCUGAUCGAAGACAGUGUCUGGCAGGCAGUUUGACUGGGGCGGUCGCCUCCUAAAAGAUAACGGAGGCGCUCAAAGGUUUGCUCAGAAUGGUUGGAAAUCAUUCGUAGCGUGUAAAGGCAUAAGCAAGCUUGACUGUGAGACUGACAAGUCGAGCAGGUACGAAAGUAGGACUUAGUGAUCCGGUGGUUCCGUAUGGAAGGGCCAUCGCUCAACGGACAAAAGCUACCCCGGGGAUAACAGGCUCAUCUCCCCCAAGAGUCCACAUCGACGGGGAGGUUUGGCACCUCGAUGUCGGCUCAUCGCAUCCUGGGGCUGUAGUCGGUCCCAAGGGUUGGGCUGUUCGCCCAUUAAAGCGGUACGCGAGCUGGGUUCAGAACGUCGUGAGACAGUUCGGUCCCUAUCCGUCGUGGGCGCAGGAAAUUUGAGAGGAUCUGUCCUUAGUACGAGAGGACCGGGAUGGACAUACCUCUGGUGUACCAGUUGUUCUGCCAAGAGCACCGCUGGGUAGCUACGUAUGGAUUAGAUAAUCGCUGAAAGCAUCUAAGUGAGAAACUAACCUCGAGAUGAGAUUUCCCAUUCGUCAGAAGUAAGACCCCUGAGAGACGAUCAGGUAGAUAGGCUAGAAGUGGAAGUGUAGUGAUGCAUGGAGCGGACUAGUACUAAUAGGUCGAGGACUUAACCAAG
This 950-nucleotide ribosomal RNA is filed under the name Oenococcus oeni. Its description in RNAcentral is "bacterial LSU rRNA". It matches the Rfam family "Bacterial large subunit ribosomal RNA", at positions 1975 to 2925 of the family's 2925-position model. Lineage: Bacteria; Bacillati; Bacillota; Bacilli; Lactobacillales; Lactobacillaceae. The record is from RNAcentral.